This is a long non-coding RNA of Triticum dicoccoides, 5202 nucleotides long. RefSeq lists it as uncharacterized. The record is from RefSeq and is a predicted model, not a curated record. The transcript is spliced from 3 exons. NCBI's taxonomy places the organism in Eukaryota, Viridiplantae, Streptophyta, Magnoliopsida, Poales, Poaceae.
CGCCGCUUCCACCCCGCGCGCCGCCUCCGGGGUGGCCAGCCUCUAUGACUGCCGCCGGGGGCCGCGCUGCCCAUACGUAGAGUUCAUUCGCCGACCGGCUACCCUAGAGAUUCUUUUUCUUGAUCAAUUGAUUCGGGUUUUCCUCUCUCGCCGGUCGUUUGAGUGUUUCUUUUUGAUUUUCCGAUCUAUAAAUCGAUUUGUGUCGCCCGCCGCCGUCUGUGGUCUACAACGCGCAUACACUCUAUCGACAUCUUCAUCAUCUAGAUGGAUCUGAAUCGGGCCUCUCGUCCUCGCCCGCGACUCCGCGUCGAUCCACACCGCGUGCCGCCUGCAUGGCCGUGCCUGAUGCAUGUUGCAUGCAUGGUGGUUGCUGCAUGCUGCGUCCCGUGCUGGUGGAGGCUGCGCGCAUCGAGCGCAACCUCUUUGCACCGCUGGGUGUCCCUGCUCGGUUGUACGCUUCUGGUUACUCUCUUGCUCUCGUCUUCUUCCUUUCUACUACGAUCGUGUAGAUCUACUUUCUUUCAGCUCCUACUAAAAGUUUCUACAACCGGUUGCCGCAAGUCGAUGUCCUCGAGUAUCGACUGGUAUUACGCUAGUUUAACUGGUUCUUUCCAUGUCGCUCCAAUUUGUGGCAGCCAAGAAAACCCCAAUGGAGGUUGAUGCAGUUCAUGCAGUAGAGGAAAUCCCCUGCUUUGCAAGAAAAGAUUUCUUAAAAAGGAUUGGUAUUGCAAAAUCCGCUUUCACUCAAGUCACAGCUCCACUUCAGACAAAAGAAAGGUCCAUUUUUGUUGUUAAUGUGAGCAACGAACAAGACACAACUUAUUUUCUGGUAGGUAUUGGAAACAAUUCUUGGAAUUGUACCAACUCUGGGUGGGUAAAGAAAUGAGGGGAGAGAUAGAUGGGAUCUAGGCCAGCACGAUGGCGUGGUGGUGGAGGAAUUUUUGCAGGGCUUCGCCAAGCAACUACAGAGGAGGAAGUGGAGGGAGAGAGAGGAGGUGGCGGCCAGAUGGAUGGGUGGGUGCGCCUAGCCCCUUCCCUCCCUUUAUAUAGGGGGUGAGGGGGUCCGGCCAGCCCUGUCCCCCGUUCCAAGCCAAGGGGUGGUGGCCCCCCAACAAGCCUACCCCCCCCCCCUUUCGGGUUUCCACCCUUAGCCACACGGGCCCUUGGUGUGUGGCGCCUGGCCCAUGUAGGGAUAGUGCGCCCCCUCCCUUAAGGGUCCAUGUGGCCCCUCUGGGCAGGUGGGCCCCAUGGAACACCCCUAGAACUUUCUAGAACCCCCCUAUACAAUACCGGUAAAUUCCCGAACUUCUCCAGAACCCUGAAAAACACUUCCCAUAUAUGAAACUUUACCUCCGGACUAUUCCUAAGCUCCUCGUGAUGUCCCGUAUCCCAUACGAGACUCCAAACUACCUUCGGACUCACCGUAAUGAAUAUCCCAAUACGACCCUAGCGUUACUGAACGUUAAGUGCGUGACCCUAUGGGUUCGAGAACAUCUAGACAUGAUCGCGACACCUCUCUGAUCAAUAAUUAAUAGCGGGACCAAGUGCCCAUAAUAACUCCCACAUAUUCAACGAAGGUCUUUAUCGGUUUGAACCAUGAUGUUAAGGAUGAUAAUCUCGUAUACAAUUCCCUUUGUCUCGCGAUAUUUUUACUUUCCCCGAAUUUGAUCAUCGGUAUCGCCGUACCUACUUCAAUCUCAUUACCGGCAAGUUCUCUUUACAUGUUUCGUAAUACAAUAUCCCUGUGACUAAACACAUUACAUGCUUGCAAGCUACUUAGUAUAUCGUGUUGUCUCAGGAGUUUCAGAGAGCAAACAUGAGUCCAAGCCCAAAUCGAGAGAGCGCAAACCCAAUUCUUUGCUGGCCUAACUACUAAUGAUUAAAGGAGAAGGCCCAAAAUAUAAAUUAUACACCAAAACUGACACAUUUGAAACAUAUAUAUAAUUUUGUAUUGUUUUAUUUUAUAUUUAUAUCAUAUUGGCAUAGUUUUGCAUAAAUUUAUAUUAUUUUCCGUACUAACCUGUUAAUUCAGUGCAACCGCCAAUUGCUUUUUCUGCAUGAUUUGGAUUUUCAAGAAAAUCUACUUUUUCUGGCUCAAAAAAUCCAAGAAAAAAUUAGCAAAAAAUUCCAUCCAGAAUUUUUAGGUGGCAACAAACGUAGGUCGGGGGCCACCCACAGGCCCCACAUGGCUAGGGGCGCGUGGCUCCCUAGUGCUCCGUUCCAUUGCAUCUCGGUCACUGUGCCUCUAUAUAUACCUAAAAACUUAGACGAUUUUUAACUCUAAUUUAUCAACUAUUGCACACCUUUUUUUAAUGGCGAUCCAAUCUGGAGGCCUUUUUCUGAGCUUUGUUGGAGGGGGAGUUCUUGACAAUGGCCAUCUCCAUCAACUUGAAGGCCACCAUGAUCGCACGUGAGUAGUUUUCUUUGGACUAUGGGUCAUGGCAGUAGCUAGAUGUUUUUUUCUCCCUUGCUUCUCAACACAAAGAUCCCAUGGGCUACCCUACAUGAUUGUGAUCCAUAUGAUGUAGUCUGCUUGUGUGUUUGUUGGGAUACGACGAAUUAUCACUUAUGAUCAGAUUUAUCCAUGGAUCUUUUUAAGAUCUAUUUGGUUUCUUUGAUGCAUAAUUCUUAUUCCUCUCUAAUCUAUUCUUCUUUCUUUGCCCAAGUUUGAGAUUUGAUCUCCAAGAGGGAGUUGUGUAUGAUAGUUGGGUUCAAUCUUACAAGGUAAUCCAUCGUAGUGACAAAAAGUGGAAAAACCUGUAUUGUGUUGUUUCCACUAGGGAUAGAAAGAUGGUUGCAUAAUUGUCCUUUGAACGUAGGGUGAAGACAAUAUACCAUCUACUUCAUGUCAUCAUUCUUAUUGCAAUACUCUGUUUCUUACUUAAUACUUUAAGAUGCAUGCUGGAUAUAUGUUUGGAUGGAGUAUUAGCUAUGGAUGUAGUUGGAUAAUGGUAUAUAUAUUAGGACAUUGUGCUCAUAUUUUGAUUAUGUUAUGGAUAGUCAUAGUUAUAAAUAUUUCAGCUUAAUUGAUGAUCAACAGUAAUUUGCUUACCACACCAUGCUUUCUUUUGGAGAAAAACCACUAGUGAACCUAUGGACCUCGGUUCAUUUUCUUCCUAUAAACCUUCAAUCUCAAUCAACUCUUUUUUUAAUUCCUUGCUUUUACUUUUCGCUUGCAACAAUCAACUCUUUUUUUAAUUCCUUGCUUUUACUUUUCACUUGCAAUUAAAUCUUCCAUACACUUCUGUUUUUAAUCCUUGUAACUAGCAAGCUAGUAGGACUAACAAUCUCACUGGUCAUGUUGGGGCCAAGGCAAGUUUUGUAUCUGUGUGUGCAUGUGUUGAUCAUUGGUUGUGCUACUAAGCUCCUAUUGGUUCGAUAAACUUGAGCUUACUUGAGGGAAAUUACUGCUUGAUACAAACCCUUGCACUUGGCGAGUCCAACAUCUUUCUAGUUGAGAGGAAGCAAGCAUUUUUCUGUGGUCAUUGUUGGGGAGAUCACACCACAAUCAUGGGUCCUACACUCCUUUGUUUUACUUUCUUAUUUUCUAUAUUGCUUAAUUGCUUGUUAUUUCGCUUUUCUGCUUUCUAGAAAACUCAAAGAACACAAUUUUUUUAAAUUUUAGCAGGCCCUCUUGAGGUAAGAAUGGCCAUGCUUUACGGGUGUAGAUCCCUAAGGCCUUGUUUGGUGGAGGAGGUUUGGGGAGGUUUGGAGGGGAAUAUCCCCGCAGGGCUCAAAAUCCCCAGAAAUCCUCGUCAGCCCAUUUGGCACACAGGGAUUGGGCAGGCCAACCCCCUCUGAUCCCCACGAAUCCCUUCCAAUCCAUGUGGUACAGAAAACCCUCGGAGCCACUCAGGGAAUUGAGAAGAGUUGGACGCUUGCUAUGUUACUGUUGUUGUAGAAAGUUCAACCAAAUAGAGGGAUUUCUGAAGGGGGAGGGAUUAGUGGGGAAUUGAGGGGAUUGGGUGGAGGAGAGGGAUUCACCCAAUCUACUGAAAUCCCCCUCUCCACAAACCUCCCCAAUCCCCUUGUAUCAAAUGAGUCCUAAAGAAAAAUACUUGUUGGGUGUGGCCAUGGGUCGGUCUAGCCUUUGCUCGCCUUGGUCUCCGCCCUUGUCUGGCAGGAACGGUCCCCUUGACCUACCUUCUAUUCCCAGUCGUCCGAUCGGUGAAGAGGAGUCCAGGUAUUGUGCUACGGUGCACAAGAGAUAGAAGAGAAACAGUGAUAUGUUGCUACUAGAGUCUAGAGCCCUCUCCCAUUUUCACUAUAAGGGUCACUGUUCCUUGUGACUUGCCUUGUGCACGUCAGUGGAACCGUUUCCAUAUUGUGGACAUGCUGCUGAACAACCGAAAAUGAAAAUGGAGGCAGGAAGCCAUCGACGAGAGAGUAUUUAGUGAACGAGAUAUAACAGAGUUAAAAGUACAUGUGUGUUUCCUAGGGCUACCGUGAUAUCAAAGUUCAAUCUUCUGUGUGCAGGAUACUAGUGGGACAAAGAACAUAGCAGAAUUUUGAGAUUCGGAGAUGAUUUUAUGUUAGUGUGAUUCACUGACUGCUGUUUCAUCGUUCGUGUAUUGAGCUAUCUGAUACCCUAUUGUGGCAUUUCAUUCUGUUGUUGAUUAUUGUUGUGCGACCUUGUUGUGGCAUUUCAUUUCCUCCACCUUGUCCUUGAUAGUGAAAGCCUCCUCCUCCGCCUUCCUCUUGGAGCCACAUCCUGCUUUGACGAUGAACGACGGCUCCUCGGCCUGCUGCUCGGCUCUUGCCUAGUGGACGCCUCCGCCUCCUCCUUCUCCGCCUGGGUCGCAGUGAAGGGUAAACCCUCAUAGACGGUUGCCAUCUGCACGGAGAACUGCAUCUUGUUGAUGAACAUCGCCGAGUCUGGUCUGCACCUCGCCGGGUUUGGUGGAUUGGGGAUUUCUCUCGCUGGAACGAACGUCAGGAAGCGGCGGCGGCUGGCAUAUAUAUGUCCAGACCACCAGCGUCUUCAGACCGGCCUCUUCCAGACUCGCUUAUUGGGCUGGGCCGGGAUGGGCCCCCGUCACUUCUUUCUUUCCGCUAGCCAGCUUGCGUGUCGGGAAAUAAAAAACUCAACUAGUAGAGUUUUGCCGGCGCUUUUGUUAGCUGGUCGGUAUUUUUCUCUGGAUUUUGUUAUUUGGAAAUGUUUCUAUUGAAAUAUAUUGCAGAAAAAAGUAUUUAAGAAUGGUA